This 497-nucleotide ribosomal RNA is filed under the name uncultured bacterium. RNAcentral describes it as "partial 16S ribosomal RNA". It matches the Rfam family "Bacterial small subunit ribosomal RNA", at positions 28 to 507 of the family's 1533-position model. The record is from RNAcentral.
GAUGAUCGCUGGCGGCGUGCCUAAUACAUGCAAGCCGAGCGAACAGAUGAGGAGCUUGCUCCUCUGACGUUAGCGGCGGACGGGUGAGUAACACGUGGAUAACCUACCUAUAAGACUGGGAUAACUUCGGGAAACCGGAGCUAAUACCGGAUAAUAUAUUGAACCGCAUGGUUCAAUAGUGAAAGACGGUUUUGCUGUCACUUAUAGAUGGAUCCGCGCCGCAUUAGCUAGUUGGUAAGGUAACGGCUUACCAAGGCAACGAUGCGUAGCCGACCUGAGAGGGUAAUCGGCCACACUGGAACUGAGACACGGUCCAGACUCCUACGGGAGGCAGCAGUAGGGAAUCUUCCGCAAUGGGCGAAAGCCUGACGGAGCAACGCCGCGUGAGUGAUGAAGGUCUUCGGAUCGUAAAACUCUGUUAUUAGGGAAGAACAAAUGUGUAAGUAACUAUGCACGUCUUGACGGUACCUAAUCAGAAAGCCACGGCUAACUACGUG